GUGAGGAAUAUUGCGCAAUGGAGGCAACUCUGACGCAGCCAUGCCGCGUGCAGGAAGAAGGCGCUACGCGUUGUAAACUGCUUUUAACCGGGAAGAAACCCCAGGACGUGUCCUGGGUUGACGGUACCGGAGGAAUAAGCACCGGCUAACUUCGUGCCAGCAGCCGCGGUAAUACGAAGGGUGCAAGCGUUAUCCGGAUUCAUUGGGUUUAAAGGGUGCGUAGGCGGAGCGUUAAGUCAGUGGUGAAAUCCUGCAGCUUAACUGUAGACUUGCCAUUGAUACUGGCGCUCUUGAGUGCGCUUGAAGUGGGCGGAAUUUGCCGUGUAGCGGUGAAAUGCUUAGAUAUGGCACAGAACACCAAUUGCGAAGGCAGCUCACUAAGGCGAUACUGACGCUGAGGCACGAAAGCGUGGGGAUCGAACAGGAUUAGAAACCCUGGUAGUCC
RNAcentral lists this ribosomal RNA (445 nucleotides) under uncultured bacterium. RNAcentral describes it as "partial 16S ribosomal RNA". It matches the Rfam family "Bacterial small subunit ribosomal RNA", at positions 354 to 796 of the family's 1533-position model. The record is from RNAcentral.